CGAAACUGUGUCAGAAGUUCUCAUAAAUUUUUCCUCUCAAAACAUAGAUAAUAGCAGUGAAAAAUUCUAGUUGCGGGUUUAUCAGGCAUGAAAUUGCUUAUAUGCUUGAGAAGAGCACAUAAUCUACUCCACUCCAUAAAGAUCCAUUUCCAAGUUAUCCUGAUUCUACCUUUAUAACUGUAAGCAUAAUUUGUAAUGUAUCUCCAUCCCUCCCCCCCUUCAAAAUAUUCUGCUAUAAUGUAUUAUAUUUUGCUUGAUCUUGGUUUCUAACAGUCCCACAAUACUAGAGGAUAGUACCUAAAGUACCAUCUCUUUUCCAGACUUCAUUUGUUUUCUAACCACCAACCCCCGUCAUAUCACUCUUACUCAAUUCAUGAAAGGUAUUAGUCACUGGUAUUACAUCUUUGAUCACCCCUGGAGACUUCCUAGUUUUUGCAGGUUAAAUCCAACCUCUAGCAUCCUCCCUUAUUGUUGCCCUUGUGAUUGUAUCUUGCUUCAUGUUCUGUUGUGAUUCUACAUUAGAUUGAAUACCAGAAGCAAUUACAACUGGAAUAGUAUUGACAGUGGUUUCAGUUUCCUAAAGAAUUUCUUUAGCAAGUUGGACCAUUUCAUCUUCAUUAGUCUCCUCUCUUUGUUGCACCUUGUUCUUUCCACAGACAUCAUCAAUAUGCCCAUAUUUCUGAUGUAUGGUACAGAAAGAUGAUUUGCAGUCAUAAGUGAACUUAUGGUCAAUAAUACUUCGCCUAUUAUUCUAAAAAUAAAUCACUUCUAGGAGUGUUGCACCUAUCUUUGCUUUCCCCAAGAAUCUAGCAAAAUGCAAUCCCACUUUCCUUACAGUAUUUCUAUCCACCAUGAGCGGUUUGUCCACCAAACUCCCAAUUUUGCUAAGCUUCUGAGCACUCCAAUAUUUUAAGUCUAGGCCAGGCAACCUCACUUAAAUUGGGGCUGAAUACAAUUUCUCUCUUGAGAACUCCGUAUCAUGAUUCAAGGCUGUUCCUUGAAGCUUCUCAUUCCUUCCUUCUUCAUAAUCUAAACUCACCAAGAUAACUCCAUUCUUCAUUAUCGUAAUUUUAUUGAUAGCAAUCUUAUCCCUCAUCCUUUGAUUAAAUCCAUUUAGGACCAAAAAUGGGGGAUAAGCCCCCAAUAUAUAACAAACUAAUGUUGUUUUUUGGUAUUCCAUUUUAGUAACGAUUUCUUCCUAAUCUGAUGAUUCCCACUAACUCCUGGGUUCACAUACCCUACCUUAAAACCUGCAUUAGAUAUUUUAGUUAUAUUGAAGUUAUCCCAUACAGAAGCUUGAUUUGUAGCGAUUUACACGAGGAUUUAUCUCGUUGUUCAACCUUGUCAGCCCAUGAUUGGCUACAUUCCUUUUUCGGAGAAUAGAUAAUUUCAAGUCACUCACCUGAUUUCUCCUUAGCUUUGAUCAAAUCACCUCUUGUCAGCCCUAGUCGUAGUCGCAGCAACGGGUUAUUGCACUCCAGAGCUUUCAAUUUCCCCUUCACUAAUCUCAUCAAUCAAUCGUCCAACAGUAUGAACAGCAGCCUUAGUUAUGCAUGUCUUCCGUGUCGCAGGAUCUGUCUUCGUUAGUGUCUUCGCCCUCCUACCUGUUUGCCCCUAAUACUGAGACGUGAUGAAGGUCGGGCAGUAUUCGUGUCAAGGGCUGGAGCAUAUCCCCUUGACAUGUGUUCGUGGAAGUGUUGGCAAGAAAUGUGUAAAGCUGGGUGUGUGUUUAAGUUAGUGAUGGGCUUAGAUAAGUCAACUAAGGCAAGUAAGCUUGAUUGUUGGCAAUGCAGCCGUGGUUCGUGGGCAUCGGCUAUGGCAACGAAGGCAUAGCACUUGAAAAAGGCAUGCGUGGAUCAGUGGGACGACUAAGUUUAUGGAAAGGCGUGGCUCUGAACUAUGGGCGAGGCAUGAUCCUAAACAAUGCAAGGCAAAAGUUUAAGCUUGGGCAAAAUCUGGAAGGUAAGUGUGCAUGGCAUGUGACGAAGAGGUGUGCAAGGCAUGUGCUUGGAAGUUGGAGACAUGUGCUAAGCACAUGAGCAGUUAACUCUAAAGGCUGAAGACAAUGCCAUUUUGUGGGAAGAUUUUAAAUUUGAAUCACACAAAUCAGUUGUGCUUGUUUUUAAUUAAGUCAUGUGCAUGGCACAUUGUAAAAACUGCCCCUAAUUUCCCAUUGUAAAACUGUCAUAGGCUGCCCCUUUUAUAUUGUGUAAUUUGUUUGGCUAAGGCAAACAGCAUAAUUGUGAGCCUUACAAACGUGAUUCCUUUGCAUUCUGCAAGAAUUAAUAAAGGUUGGGUUUUUACCGUAA
RNAcentral lists this long non-coding RNA (2309 nucleotides) under Nicotiana benthamiana. Its description in RNAcentral is "long non-coding RNA (NBEN_LNC036610)". Lineage: Eukaryota; Viridiplantae; Streptophyta; Magnoliopsida; Solanales; Solanaceae. The record is from RNAcentral.